RNAcentral lists this long non-coding RNA (334 nucleotides) under Setaria italica (foxtail millet). RNAcentral's name for it is "long non-coding RNA (SITA_LNC005582)". The record is from RNAcentral. Lineage: Eukaryota; Viridiplantae; Streptophyta; Magnoliopsida; Poales; Poaceae.
CAAAGUUUACAAGUGCCUGGCUACCCGGUAGGCAAACAAAGCUAAUUAAAAGUAAAGACCACGUAUUUGGGCUAGCCCCGAGUUGGGCCACAAUCCCACAAACGAUUACUACUAGUCUUCUACUCUUCUUGAUAUGAUAGAGAGAGGGCACAUAUCUCUCGCUCUCCUCUAUAGGUAGCUUGUUUGUACCGCCCGUUGCACAAUAUUGGGCCAGCAAGCAGGUAUGGCCUCUGAGGCUCUGACAGCGUUCCUAUUGUGCUGUUGAUGUCUUAGAAAAUACAUCGAUGAAUUUUUCUUCCACUUGUUAUCUCUGUCACCCCCACGUCUACUGUCC